Molecule: ribosomal RNA, 473 nt
Filed under: uncultured bacterium
Lineage: Bacteria
Description: bacterial SSU rRNA
Rfam family: Bacterial small subunit ribosomal RNA
Source: RNAcentral
GGCAGGCUUAACACAUGCGAAGUCGGAGGGGUAGAAGGAGCUUGCUCCUUUGAGACCGGGCGCGACGGGUGCGGUAACGCGUUAUGCAAUCUACCUUUGCAGAGGGAUAGCCCAGAGAAUUUGGAUUAAUACCUCAUAGUAUAGUACUUUGGCAUCAAGGAACUAUUAAAGUCACAACGGCAAAAGAUGAGCAUGCGUCCCAUUAGCUAGUUGGUAAGGUAACGGCUUACCAAGGCUACGAUGGGUAGGGGGUCCUGAGAGGGAGAUCCCCCCACACUGGUACUGAGACACGGACCAGACUCCUACGGGAGGCAGCAGUGAGGAAUAUUGGACAAUGGGCGCAAGCCUGAUCCAGCCAUGCCGCGUGCAGGAUGACGGUCCUAUGGAUUGUAAACUGCUUUUAUACAGGAAGAAACACUCCGACGUGUCGGAGCUUGACGGUACUGUAAGAAUAAGGAUCGGCUAACUCCGUG